Molecule: ribosomal RNA, 439 nt
Filed under: uncultured bacterium
Lineage: Bacteria
Description: partial 16S ribosomal RNA
Rfam family: Bacterial small subunit ribosomal RNA
Source: RNAcentral
CCUACGGGCGGCAGCAGUGAGGGAUAUUGGUCAAUGGGGGAAACCCUGAACCAGCAACGCCGCGUGAGGGAAGACGGUUUUCGGAUUGUAAACCUCUGUCCUCUGUGAAGAAAAUGACGGUACCCAAAGAGGAAGCUCCGGCUAACUACGUGCCAGCAGCCGCGGUAAUACGUAGGGAGCGAGCGUUGUCCGGAAUUACUGGGUGUAAAGGGAGCGUAGGCGGGCGAGAAAGUUGAAUGUUAAAUCUACCGGCUUAACUGGUAGCUGCGUUCAAAACUUCUUGUCUUGAGUGAAGUAGAGGCAGGCGGAAUUCCUAGUGUAGCGGUGAAAUGCGUAGAUAUUAGGAGGAACACCAGUGGCGAAGGCGGCCUGCUGGGCUUUAACUGACGCUGAGGCUCGAAAGCGUGGGGAGCAAACAGGAUUAGAUACCCUAGUAGUC